CUCCUCCCGCGCCAGCCACGGAAGAACGCUGCGGACCCAGCUCGCUUCUGGUAGCAAGACCCGAACUGUAAGGAAGAAAACCCUCGUGAAAGAGGAGCAAAGCUUUCACUUCGCUGCGUUUUAAGACGAAAGUUAGGGCUGGAGUAUGAUGGCAUGAUGAUGGCUCACUGCUGCCUUAAACUCCCGGCCUCAAGCUGUCCUCCUGCCUCAGCCUCCCAAAUUGCUGGAAUUACAGCUUGCAAAGUGCCUGUAGCCUGUCGUGUUCUGACUUGGGCCCUAGAACAACCUUUUCUACAAUGUUGCCCACAGCUCACUGGAAACUGCCCUCUAGACUUUUGAUUCAAGUUCCAUAGGGAGAAAGGGACGGAGAGAAAAACAGACAGAAUCUGACUCACCCAGCUCAACCUUUUAAAUCAUGCCACCCAGGUCAUAGGUCACUGACAAGGAAGGCUCUGCUGGGACCAGGUGCCUGUCCAGUCACAUUCCAAGCAAAUGCUGUGAGAGGAGUGAUGUCCUAAAGCUUACUGCCCCAUUAAGAAGAGAUGGCAGAUGGGGACAGAGUCUCUGGGGAAGGAAGACAGGGUAGACACUCCAAAUUUAGGGCAUGCAGCAGUUUGCUGACUGUGCCUGUCUGCUGCCUCGAUUUCUACACUUAGUGAGUCCAGGGGGAUAAUUCCAUUCACCUCUUCAACAGAAAAAAAUGUAUGGCCUUUGUAAUCAUCAUCAUCAUUUCCCCUUUAUCAUCAUUAUGUCUGUAAAUGUGUUUACAUACUUGAGAUGUGACAUCAUUUUUCCUUUAUUAUCAUGUACUUAUAAAUGUGUUUUUGAUUACGUGCCUUUAAAUAUUUGUGUAAACACA
Long non-coding RNA from Pongo pygmaeus (Bornean orangutan), 859 nucleotides. RefSeq lists it as uncharacterized. NCBI's taxonomy places the organism in Eukaryota, Metazoa, Chordata, Mammalia, Primates, Hominidae. The record is from RefSeq and is a predicted model, not a curated record. The transcript is spliced from 3 exons.